AUUGAACGCUGGCGGCAGGCUUAACACAUGCAAGUCGAACGAGUGGCGGACGGGUUAGUAAUGUCUGGGAAACUGCCUGAUGGAGGGGGAUAACUACUGGACACGGUAGCUAAUACCGCAUACCAUCGGAUGUGCCCAGAUGGGAUUAGCUAGUAGGUGGGGUAAAGGCUCACCUAGGCGACGAUCCCUAGCUGGUCUGAGAGGAUGACCAGCCACAAGGAAACUGAGACACGAUCCAGACUCCUACGGGAGGCAGCAGUGGGGAAUAUGGAACAAUGGGGGCAAGCAUGAUGCAGCCAUGCAGGGGGUAUGAAGAAGGCCUUCGGGUGGUAAAGAACUUUCAGCGAGGAGGCGUUAGCAGCAGAAGAAGCACCGGCUAACUCCGUGCCAGCAGCCGCGGUAAUUC
This 406-nucleotide ribosomal RNA is filed under the name uncultured bacterium. Its description in RNAcentral is "partial 16S ribosomal RNA". It matches the Rfam family "Bacterial small subunit ribosomal RNA", at positions 29 to 526 of the family's 1533-position model. The record is from RNAcentral.